Molecule: ribosomal RNA, 3310 nt
Filed under: Triticum aestivum (bread wheat)
Lineage: Eukaryota; Viridiplantae; Streptophyta; Magnoliopsida; Poales; Poaceae
Description: partial small subunit ribosomal RNA
Source: RNAcentral
GGUGACUGCAUCUGCACACACCAAAAGAAAAGCAAGACCAUUGUUGUUAUGGAGAAGGAGAAGAUUUAUCUACAGUUGAAUCAAUUUACUAAGCUGAUUCCUAUAAUGGUUGUUAUGAAAGCCAUGGGAAUGGAAAGUGAUCAAGAGAUUCUACAAAUGAUUGGACGAGAUCCAAGAUAUGGGGACCUCCUGUUUUUAUCUAUUCAGGAAUGUGCCCCAGAGAGAAUAUAUACACAAGAGCAAGCUCUUCAGUACAUGGAUGGCAAGUUGAAGUAUCCCGAUUCAGGAAAUCUGAAGGAAAGUCGGUCAAAAUCAAUACUCCGUGAUGUUUUUCUUGCGCAUGUGCCGGUCAAUAAUGGGAACUUCAGAGCAAAGUGCAUUUACACUAGCGUAAUGUUAAGGCGCAUGAUGGAUGCAAUCUUGAAUGCUGACACUUUUGACGAUAAGGAUUACGUAGGAAAUAAGAGGCUGGAACUGUCUGGUCAACUACUAUCGCUGCUAUUCGAGGAUUUGUUCAAAACAAUGAAUGCUAAUGCUGUGAAGAAUAUGAGCGCACAAAGUAGAAAAGCCCAAACAGAUAGUUUUAAGCAGAUAAUAGAGAAGAAUGUUACCAUAACCUCUGGUUUGGAGAGGGCUAUUAACACAGGAAAUUGGGACAUAAGCCGAUUUGGGAUGAGUAGAAAGGGAGUAUCACAGUCUCUUUCUAGGCUAUCCUACAUUGCAUCUGUAGGCUACAUGACACGCAUAUCACCGCAAUUUGAGAAGACCCGGAAAACAAGUGGACCUCGUGCGUUGCAGCCUAGCCAGUGGGGUAUGCUUUGCCCAUGCGAUACUCCUGAAGGGGAACUUUGUGGAUUGACAAAAAAUUUAGCUUUGUUGGCUCAUGUUACAACAGAUCAAGAGGAUGGCCCACUCAUAAAUCUGUGUUAUACUCUAGGUGUGGAAGAUUUAUCAAUUCUAUCAGGAGAAGAAAUUCAUGCACCAGGUUCAUUUUUGGUCAUGUUCAAUGGAUUAAUACUGGGGAAACAUAGGCAACCUCAGAUAUUUGCUAAUUCUAUGAGAACAUUGCGUCGGUCAGGCUACAUUGGGGAGUUUGUAAGCAUUUUUGUAAAUGAGAAGCAGCAUUGCAUUCACAUUGCCUCUGAUGGUGGUCGUGUUUGUCGCCCACUUAUAAUCGCUGAUAAGGGGAGAUCAAGUGUCCAAGAGCAUCAUAUGAAACAACUGAGGGGAUAGUAUACUCUCAUUUGAUGAUUUUCUGCGUGAUGGGUUGAUUGAAUAUCUUGAUGUCAAUGAAGAGAAUAAUGCAUUGAUUGCAUUGUAUGAGCAUGAGAAUCAAGAUGAUGUUCAAAGAAGCAGAAUCACACACAUUGAAAUAGAGCCGUUGACUAUACUAGGAGUUGUGGCUGGACUUAUUCCUUAUCCACACCAUAACCAAUCUCCACGUAACACUUAUCAGUGCGCAAUGGGUAAGCAAGCAAUGGGCAAUAUUGCAUAUAAUCAGUUGUUCCGGGCAGAUCCUCUACUAUAUUUGUUGGUGUAUGCGCAGCGUCCCCUGCUUACAACGAAAACAAUCGAGUUGGUGGGAUAUGAUAAGCUUGGGGCUGGGCAGAAUGCAACUGUUGCUGUCAUGAGUUACAGUGGAUAUGAUAUUGAAGAUGCAAUUGUAAUGAAUAAAUCAUCCCUUGAUCGAGGUUUUGGUCGCUGCAUAGCAAUCAAAAAGUACAAGGUCACUAUGCAGAAGUAUGGAAAUAAUAUAUCAGAAAAGAAUGUUAAACCGGAGAGGGAUAAAGAUGGUGUUUUGAUGAAAAAGAAUAUGCAGGCAUUGGAUGAAGAUGGAUUUGCGGCACCAGGUCGAAUAAUCCACAAUCAUGAUAUCCAUGUGAAUAAGAAAACUCCCAAGAUAAUUCCUGAUGAUACUGCAAACAGUCCUGCCGUUAGAUUAACAGACAGAUGACAAUUGUUAUUUUUUUGUGCUUCUUUUUAGCAUGCUCCAUCUAUUUUUUGGCUCCAAAGUUUUGCUGUUCAAGAAUGUUAUAUGUUCUCAGUCGCUUCAAACAUUAUUCACCCAGGGAUUACAAGGACUCACCUGCUGUUUACCGAGGUGAUGAUGACGAAACUACUGUAGUAGAUCGUGUAAUACUUUCAUCAGAUACAAAUGACCAAUUGACCAUUAAAUGUAUGAUCCGUCACACAAGGAGGCCAGAGGUCGGUGACAAAUUUAGUAGCAGACAUGGACAGAAAGGUGUUUGUGGUACCAUUAUUCAGCAGGAAGACUUCCCCUUCUCUGAGAGAGGAAUAUGCCCUGACUUAAUUAUGAAUCCCCAUGGAUUUCCAAGUCGUAUGACAAUAGGCAAAAUGCUUGAACUUGUUGGGGGGAAGGCUGGCGUGUCGUGUGGUCGAUUUCAUUAUGGCAGUGCAUUUGGUGAACCAAGUGGUAAUGCUGAUAAAGUUGAGGACAUGGGCUAUAUUCUUGUCAAGCACGGCUUCAACUAUCAUGGAAAAGAUUUAUUGUACUCAGGCAUUUUAGGCCAUCCUCUUGAGACAUAUAUCUUCAUGGGGCCAAUCUACUAUCAGAAGCUGAAGCACAUGGUUCUUGAUAAGAUGCAUGCUCGAGCUAGUGGACCACGAGUUACGAUGACCAGGAAGCCUACUGAAGGGCGAAGCCAUAAUGGAGGCCUGCGUGUUGGUGAGAUGGAGCGUGAUUGCUUAAUUGCGCAUGGUGCCAGCAUGCUAAUAUUUGAGCGUCUCCUACUAUGCAGUGACCCAUAUAAAGUGCAGGUUUGCGGAACAUGCGGUUUGUUGGGCUACUACAACCAUAAACUCAAGACAUCCUUCUGUUCAUUCUGCAAAAAUGGGGAAAACAUGGCCCAAGUGACGAUGCCAUAUGCCUGCAAGCUUUUGUUUCAGGAACUGCAGUCGAUGAACAUUGUGCCACGCCUGAAAUUAACCAAAGAAUGACUUGUAACACGAUUGUGGGCCGUUGAUCUCGAAGGGUGAUUGGAGCGUCUGAGGCGAACCGGUCCGGCAUGAUUCCUGAAGGCUGAAUGUGUGUAAAAAAGUUUAUCCAAGAGCUCUCGGCAUUUUUUGGUGUAUAUAUUUGAGAUGCGAAACUAGUUCUGUAGCUUGAUACAAAGAUUAAGUAACAUGCCAGCUACAUUGGCACGUUCGUUUCCACGACUGUAACCAGGUAUCUUGAUAUGUGUAUACAUACUGCAUGCUUCCUCUGUCGAUUGCAACAUGGAGCACUAGAUGAUAAAAGAGUCAUAUCAUUACAUACUUGAUGAAUAUAGCGAUGUAUGCCGAAUAGAGC